UAGAAAAUUUAUAUUAAGAACUGUUAAUUCUUGAUCGUAUGAGAGUUCAUACUUUUCUAG
RNAcentral lists this transfer RNA (60 nucleotides) under Stenostomum leucops. Its description in RNAcentral is "tRNA-Asn". The record is from RNAcentral. Lineage: Eukaryota; Metazoa; Platyhelminthes; Stenostomidae.